CUACUUACCUGGCAGGGGAGAUACCAUGAUCAUGUAGGUGGUUCACCCAGGGCGAGGCUCAGCCAUUGCACUGAGGCUGUCUGACCUCUGCGAAUUCCCCAAAUGUGGGAAUCUCGACUGCAUAAUUUCUGGUAGUGGGGGACUGCGUUCGCGCUCUCCCCUG
RNAcentral lists this small nuclear RNA (163 nucleotides) under Betta splendens (Siamese fighting fish). RNAcentral describes it as "U1 spliceosomal RNA (ENSBSLG00000001133.1)". It matches the Rfam family "U1 spliceosomal RNA". Rfam says of the family: U1 is a small nuclear RNA (snRNA) component of the spliceosome (involved in pre-mRNA splicing). Its 5' end forms complementary base pairs with the 5' splice junction, thus defining the 5' donor site of an intron. The record is from Rfam by way of RNAcentral. Lineage: Eukaryota; Metazoa; Chordata; Actinopteri; Anabantiformes; Osphronemidae.